CAGCCGCCGCGGUAAUACAGAGGGUGCGAGCGUUAAUCGGAUUUACUGGGCGUAAAGCGUGCGUAGGCGGCUUUUUAAGUCGGAUGUGAAAUCCCUGAGCUUAACUUAGGAAUUGCGUUCGAUACUGGGAAGCUAGAGUAUGGGAGAGGAUGGUAGAAUUCCAGGUGUAGCGGUGAAAUGCGUAGAGAUCUGGAGGAAUACCGAUGGCGAAGGCAGCCAUCUGGCCUAAUACUGACGCUGAGGUACGAAAGCAUGGGGAGCAAACAGGAUUAGAUACCCCAGUAGUCCCUGUCUCUUAUAC
RNAcentral lists this ribosomal RNA (301 nucleotides) under uncultured bacterium. RNAcentral describes it as "partial 16S ribosomal RNA". It matches the Rfam family "Bacterial small subunit ribosomal RNA", at positions 509 to 807 of the family's 1533-position model. The record is from RNAcentral.